UACGUAGGGCGCAAGCGUUGUCCGGAAUUAUUGGGCGUAACGAGCUCGUAGGCGGCUUGUCACGUCUGGUGUGAAAGCCCGGGGCUUAACCCCGGGUCUGCAUUCGAUACGGGCUAGCUAGAGUGUGGUAGGGGAGAUCGGAAUUCCUGGUGUAGCGGUGAAAUGCGCAGAUAUCAGGAGGAACACCGGUGGCGAAGGCGGAUCUCUGGGACAUUACUGACGCUGAGGAGCGAAAGCGUGGGGAGCGAACAGG
RNAcentral lists this ribosomal RNA (253 nucleotides) under uncultured bacterium. Its description in RNAcentral is "partial 16S ribosomal RNA". It matches the Rfam family "Bacterial small subunit ribosomal RNA", at positions 524 to 776 of the family's 1533-position model. The record is from RNAcentral.